RNAcentral lists this transfer RNA (67 nucleotides) under Quasipaa yei (Ye's spiny-vented frog). RNAcentral's name for it is "tRNA-His". It matches the Rfam family "tRNA". Rfam says of the family: Transfer RNA (tRNA) molecules are approximately 80 nucleotides in length. The record is from RNAcentral. Lineage: Eukaryota; Metazoa; Chordata; Amphibia; Anura; Dicroglossidae.
GUAGACAUAGUUUAAAAAAUACUAGAUUGUGAUUCUAGAGAUGAAAGAUAAUGCCUUUCUGUCCACC